Onychostruthus taczanowskii (white-rumped snowfinch) is the source of this 6930-nucleotide long non-coding RNA. RefSeq lists it as uncharacterized. The transcript is spliced from 2 exons. The record is from RefSeq and is a predicted model, not a curated record. Lineage: Eukaryota; Metazoa; Chordata; Aves; Passeriformes; Passeridae.
CAUGUAAGUACCACAAAUUCCUAGAAAUUUGCCACUGUUUUCCACUUUCAUUUGCAUAUCUUCCAGAGCAAACUUGGGGAUCCAGAGGUUUCCAGUAGCUCUCCAUUGGACCCACCUCACGUUCCUCUGGGAGAUGGCCCUGGCUCUGGCAGAGCAAAGCAAGGGGCACGGGGCAGGCACGGGGGUCACAGCAGCUCCCCAGCAGCUGCACCAGCUCCUCUCGGCUGCAAUGUGACAGGAACUGUCCCUGGAGAGCUCCCAGAGCCUCUGGCCCUCACAGGCACGAAGGUGAUGCCAGGAGCAUUCCCAGCUUGUCUCCAGCCACUGCAGCACCACCAAACCACUCUGUGAGUGCUACAGGAGGUGCAGAGGCAGCAGCAAACCUGGCUCAACUCCAGCUUUAUUUCCCUGUCUUCAUCACAGCGAGUCUCCUCCACCAGCAACUUGGUUAUGUUGUAUUUUAAUAAAUUCAACACAAGAGGCCUCCACUAGCCCGUUCUUCAAUUAAGUCCACAUUUUAUUUAUGGUUUGCUGUUGGUACUUCAAUCAGAUUUAUAUAUACAUAAUCUAAAACCUACAUCAAAACCAUGUUGACUGCUCUGAAGACCGAGAGAAGUGACACGAUUGAAGUUUUCUUCCACAGCUCUAUGAUUAACACCUGGGUUGAUCUGCAGAAUUCUGGCUUUUCACACGCCCACGUCUCCCUUCCUAAACCCUCACCAACACAGCUGGAAAACCAAGUCCCUCCCUGCGAUUGCUGCAUAAUUUGAACAUUAAUUACGAGAGGAUCUGAUGCUGCUUCACACGGGAGGCAGCACGAGAGGCUGAGGAGAAGCGCUUGGGAGUCCUCACGGUGCCACCUGCAAAAUGCCAGCUCCUUCACUUGGAUGCACACACAGGUACCCCAAACAAUUCCAUUUAUCCCCAGGGAGGCAGGGAUGCCCGUGCCUGCCCAGCAAACAGCCCCACCAGGAAUUUGUGCACCUUGGCCUGGCCCAGGGCAGCUCCCGCACGGCCGGAGCCGCUCCCGGCAACGAACGACAAGAGGUAGAAAGUAUUCACAGAAGCAGCUUGGCCCUCGCUCAGCCCAUCCCUGCCUUUAUUUGCUCAGAGGAUUAGACUUAGUACAGAUCUUAGAGAAGAAGAAGAAGAAUAGAAAAUGCUUUACAUGCUACUUAAUCGGAAGUUCCUGCUCGGAACAGCCCCGGAGCGCUGUGGUUCAGGACGGGUCCCGCACAAAGGCUCAGCAGCUGCUGCCACGGGGCUGCGUGGGGCCAGGCAAAGCACAGCUCCAGCUCCCCAGGGAUUUCCCACAGCACGACCUCUCCCUUCAGCAAAAUAUUCCCAUUUCUGCUAUUUCACCUGUCCUCAGUCACGCACAGGGCAGACAGAAUUGGUGAGUAUCAGUAAGUCCUGAAGAAUUCAUCUUCACAUUUCUAAGCUUUGGAAUUUGCUUCCAGAAGACCUUCUGAGGACUUUAAAGCACCUACCAGAUAUUUAAAUACAAUCAAGUAUAUUAAGUGUCCAACUUUUCAGUUCGCCUUCUUUUCCAGAGUAGAUUCCAGCAAAACCUACUGCUUUUAUUCACCUGUAGAAUAAUGGUUCAAUAUAGAAAAUGGAGGGAAAAAAUACCCCAAACAACAACCAACCGAAGAAAAUCAAUAAGCUACAAGCUAUUAGAAUUCCAGACUGCCAUCAGCAGCACAAAGCUUUCCUAUCCCACAUAAAUGAGAAGAUUUAAGAGGUGACAAAGCCCACCUGGUCAAGGCUGUGGCUGCUGCUACUGCACUGUGAAAGGCUCCAGGCUGCCUGGCAAACGUGGGGGCUUUUUGGGUUUUUCCCUUGCAGCAGCAAACAGCAGGGCAGCAGGUGUGGGUAAAGACAGGAGGUAAACAAUCAUCAUGGCAAGUGAAGGGAUUUGAUUCCAAGAAAAUACAAAAAUAUUGAAUAUAAAAAUGAUCCUUGCAAUCCAGAGUGAAAAACUCUGUAAGACAGAAUCACAAGAAAUGACGGACAGGAAUUUAAGAGUGAGGGACAAGAACUGAGCAGCAUUUCAAUAAAUAAAGCUACAAAAAAGGCCAAUAAUACCUUUAAAAGCUGCACCUACAGAGGUAUCACUACAGCAAAGGAACAGAACUGCUCACUUAAUGGCUCAGGUGAAACCACACUUGGAAAGCAUUCAUCCAGCCCUGGGCAUUGUAUGAAAACAGGAACAGCACGACACCACAGCAGAAAUGUGGAUCAGGGAACAGCUUAUGGGGGAAAACCAAACAUUUACACAUUUUGCUCUGGUGUGGACUAAAGGGGACAUCACUGCAACUGCAGACUGUGCAGCUCACACCACUUAGGGCAAAAUACACCAAUUUACUGGAAUAGUAGUUGCAAAUUAGAACAAAAAUUAACAUUAUCAGACAUUUUGAAUACUAUAGAAACAGAGAAGGGCAUGAUCUUGUUUUCCUGCACUGGAUGUUUUGCUAUGCUCAGAUUGUAGAUGAAGUCAUGGAACCUUUUUCCUCUUGUUUUCAUUACUCAAGGUUAUCUAAUGGUUAAAAACUAGAAGACAUUUUUUUGCACAUUAUUUUGACCACUGAACAAUGACCCUGUCGUUUCAGAACUGUGCUGAUAUGAUUUAAGGCUAUAUUAAAUUCUUCCAAGGAAACAGCCUGUAGGUCAGUUUUAUUAUCAAAAAGUGGCUUCAAGGAGUUCUAAAGCUAAAAAAUACAGAGUUGGGUAUUUAAAAAUCUGAUUAAAAGUUAGCCCUUAUUCAGGAGUGUUUUUCUCCUUCAGAAACUGGUUCCCCUGUGCUUGUUUUGAUUUGUCUGCAAACAAGAGCUCUGUCUUCUGUGCCACCCACUGACUGAGCUGGCUUGACCCCAACAUAUCACCAACUUCCACUCUUACAGUGCUGAAAUCAACUGAACCCACACAAAUGCUGCUGAAAUCCAUGGAUCCACCACAACUUGCAUUAGAAAAUCAGAGUGCAGGAUGGGGAUGUCUGAAUUUAACGGCUGGAAUCCCUUGUCAACGCUUCCAGACACAGCCUACCCCUAACAGGCACUGCAGGGGUGGGGCUGUGCACUUGCUCUUGUGAAAAAAUGACACAGGAAUGGCUACUGCACACUUAAAAACAGCUCAGGGGAGACUUUUAUACCUUAGAAAUAAAAGGAAAUUUAUGGUAAGAACCUCUCCAGUGUGAAAAGUGACAGUGCUCGGGGUGGGUUAAAGCCCUUCCCCCAGUCUGGAUCAGAGGCCAAGUGUCAGCCAAGAGUGUGCUGACAUGGCAACCCCACUGGAAGGCAGGGACAGGGACACCCUGGAAUGGCACAUAGGGCACAUACAGCUCACUCUGAGCCCAGCUGCCAGCCAGGAGAAAAUUCAUUGAGCUCUUAAGAGUGGUUUGGUGUCACCUUCCCCACUAGACCACCUGCAAGGAGAGCAGGAAUCCUGCAGGAGGAAGCAGCUGGGAUCCUUCCACUCUGCCUUCUGCCACUGCAGCACCUCGGCGCAGCACGUGGUUUGUGCAAGACAUUUCCUACUGCUCCCAGAAUGCCUCUUCUGUCUGGCUCUAGGCAAGGCAGCUGCAGACUUCAUUCCCAAGACCUCAUGGCUGUGGGAAAGUGGUAACAUGAACAUGAUGGAGAGUAUGAAAAGUAAGAAGACAGAGAGCCAAAAUCACUGUUGUCCUGUUUAUGCUGUGCUGGAGCAGAGCCACAAAUGGGAAACUCCCACACCUGUCCUAAGAAAUGUGAGGUUGGCAUCAGCAUCUCACCCUCCCAAAAAUAAAGGUGUGUCUUUUGCCAAGGGAGAGAGAAUUUGCUUCCAAUGUGGAAUUGAGAGUGUGGGAUAACAAGGUUUAACCAAGAUAUUUAAAUGCUUAAUUGGUUACUCUGCAAAUUUCCCAAUAUGCCACUUCUUCCUCCAAUUUAUACAGUCAAGUCUUUAACUUCAUUUCUAGUUAAAUUCAUUGCACUGAAAGCUUCCCUGUAAUGCCCAGUAACUGGAACUCAUGCCAACAAAAACAUGGAGCCGCUUUGCCCUGACACAGUUCAUCAGCCUAUUCAUUUCUGGCAAAAGACUUAAGAGGUAGACAAAAUUUAUUGAAACCAAAAAUGAAGUAAACUGCUACAGCAGCCAAUUUUUGCCCAUUUUAACUGUGGCAGAAUGGCUAAUCUCAUUCUCUCCUGGAUCUCAGGAAAUAAACAGGAAGUUUUGGAACCGUAAGUGCUUUUUCAUGAUACAUAUGCUAAAACACACAAGCUAGGCACAACAGAGUGGCUGAGAAGGCAUAACAGCAAAUAUAACACAAAUCUCUCAUGUUGCUUAAAGUUUCACUCAGAAAAAGAAAAAAAUAAAUGUCAAUGGGGGAAUUUAAUUUCUUUCUGGCUUGAUUUCAGCAAGAUACACAAGCUUGAAAAACAGAGAACUCAAAUUUUCAGAGCUUGUAGUCAGCUGGGAAAAUAAUGUGAAAAAAUCCAAAUCAAGCAGAGCCCUGUUCUGCUUGUCCAUUCCCACAAGUUCAGGUCCUGCAGGACAAACAAGCUUUGAUAGAACCCUGAGCCAUCUCCUUGUUGUCAAAGGGGUAACUCAGGUGCAGGUGACCAACUCUGUGACCAAAACAUAGCACAUUUACUGAUACACAAACAGUGACUGAAUUCUUUUUAUAUAUGGCUGUACUAUUUUUAACACUGACAGCAGCAAGUGUUAAAAGCUUAAUGCAGUCACUAAACAACCACAAUCCAAAUGUACAAGAUGGAGAAAUUCUGCUCAGUAAGGUUAUGGAUUUCCCCCAAGGUCAAACUACACACUAACCCUGACUCAACAUCACCUAUGGAUUUUCAGUUUCUAUGUAUUCCAUGUUACACCGCCAGGAACACCAGGAAUUGCUUUACUAUUUAUUGGCUCAUUUAUAUGGAAGACCAGAGAUUCCCUAGAAACUGUUCUAAACAGAAAACAGGACUGAAAUCAGUGAUGGGGGAAUUAGAUCUUUAGGCACUUUGAGGGGUACUGCUCUAGAGUGUGCCAUCACCAACGAGGUAUCGCCAGGAGCAUCGCCUGGAGCCACCUGCCAAAAUGCUGCCACAGAAACGUGCAUAUCAAACUUUUUGCUUGUACAGUAUGUGUUAAGAAGUACAAUUCAAAAUGGUUUUGCCCAGAGUGAAGAAAACAUUGCACCUUCCACUGGAGCUGCCUGUUUAAAAAGCAACAGCUGCAGCAAACAAUAUGGGUUUACCCUUCUUCAUGUCACAGAGAUGCACAAAAUCCUCAGUUUGCUGCCUGGAAAACAACUGCCACUGCAGCCAUUCCCAGUUCUGGGGCAGGGCUGGGUAUGGCUGGAGAAAGCCACAGCCUUAAAGUGUCACAGGUUGGACAUGUCUCUACAAUCAUUGCACUAUUAAAAGCAAACACAUUUGGCAAGGCUGAACUAGCACAUUAUAUAUUUUACCUAUAUAGUACAGAAAACGUAAUAAUCGCCUCUGAGAUAGCCUGUUUAACAAUUACUGGUCCAAAUAAAUAUUUCAACUUGAGAACUCAGGGUAGAAUUUUUGUAGUUAAAACCUCCAACAAGCAUCCCCAAACAUAAAUGGGAACACGUUAUCCAAAUUUACUAAAUCCAGGUAAAAUGGUAUUACUAAAAAACUAUGAAGAAAAUCUGAAUUAACUUGAGCACUAGGAAAAACAUGGAAGCAUAAAAGUGAUCAUUGCUACACAGCAUAUUCAAAAAUCUUCUGUGUCUCUCCCUUGUUACACUAAAUGCCUAAGAAUGCACUUGGACUGAAUUUUCCAUUGUUCAUUUCAAAACUACGGACCUUUAAUUUGAUAAGCAGCUUUGUUUCUAUCAACUCAUUUGUAAAAAACACCAUCAAGCUUGUGCUCUUAAAUAUAUAUAUGUAUAUAUAAAAACAUACAAAAAGUACAAGAUAAAUCACAUUAAGAAACUUUUACAGUGUAAUUGUCCUGAUUAUUUUAUUCUUGAGGGCCAAUUUUUUUUUUUUUUGUGCACAGAAUCUCAAUGUGACUGUUGUUCCAGAAUUCAGCAUAGUGCCACUGCACAGAAUUCACCUUUCUGUGCAGUCCAUUAAAAAACAAAACCCCAAAAAACAACACACACCACAGGACAAAACAUUCUUCUUAAAUCAAAUUCUAUUUGUGAAUUCAGCAAAAUAAUUUCUAUAAAAUAAAACAGCAAAAUAUUUAAAUAGUAUAGGGUGGGCUGUAUCUGUUUUGCAGGGGUAUUUGGUUUUUAGACAGGUUCCAAAAAAAUUACACACAUUCAAGUUACCAAUUUUCAUUUAAAUACAGUAUUUACUGAUGCGUUUCUUUAAGUCUUUAAACAAAUGUUUAUUCUGGAAUAGAGAUACCUCAGAAUUGUACUUGACUAACCAGUAGUUUCUUUUAUAUUUAAACCCUGCUUCUAAUGUUAAGAUUUUCUGUAUAAUGGAUAAAGAGCUAAGACAAUUCUCGCUUUCAAGUAGAACUGUGAACGAGCAGAAAACCAGCAAGUUAACUUGGUGCAGUGGCACUCACAAGUACUCUGUGAUUUUGUUGACUUCCACUUCACUGGGAUGCAGUAGAAGGAAAGUGUUAGAAGUUUAUCUAAUAAGCUCUACCAAAGAAACAAAACAAGCACACCAAAUACAGUCUAUUAUGCUCCAGGCAUCCUGGCAUAGCAAAUUUUUGCAUAUUUGUUUUAAAUCUUUUAAAUUCCUAUUACUGAAAACUAAGUGUUCUUUAUCCCACCCAGAGAGAGAACUGUCAAACAUCAGAUGUGAGGAACAUAUGUGAAACUGAAAACCACUUGUUUGUCACAUUUUCCCUCCCCAUUUUAUAGUCUAGGUGUAAGAAGAAAAAGUUCUGAGCAAUACAGUUGUCACAUUGGGACAACUGCUCUCACGCUUGUUUUUUUUUUUUUUUUUUAUUCCCCUCAUUGGC